GAAAUGCGAUACGUAAUGCGAAUUGCAGAACUCAGUGAAUCAUCAAAUCUUUGAACGCAAAUAGCGCUCCCGGGAUAGGCCUGGGAGCAGCCUCUUUGACUGUCGAUUCAAUCAAACUCAGCGACCUGCGCGAAUUCAUUUUUGUAGUGGGCGCAGCUGAAUAUUGAGUGUCUCACGUGAGUGAGUCACUUUAAGCGGAGCGAGUCUCCUUUCUUCUAGCACCGGUGAAAGCUAUCAAAAGGCAUUGCUGCCUCGGCUUCCGAUCCGUCUAGCGCAUUCUUCUUGGCAUUUUCGCAAAAACAGGGAUGAGCCGGACACUAAAGC
RNAcentral lists this unclassified non-coding RNA (324 nucleotides) under uncultured fungus. Its description in RNAcentral is "sequence contains ITS1". The stretch from base 1 to 105 matches the Rfam family "5.8S ribosomal RNA", at positions 50 to 154 of the family's 154-position model. The record is from RNAcentral. Lineage: Eukaryota; Fungi.